UUACUCUGGUAGCAGAUAUACUAAAAUUGGAACGAUACAGAGAAGAUUAGCGUGGCCCCUGCGCAAGGAUGACACGCAAAUUUGUGAAGCGUUCCUCAUUUUC
Molecule: small nuclear RNA, 103 nt
Filed under: Myripristis murdjan (pinecone soldierfish)
Lineage: Eukaryota; Metazoa; Chordata; Actinopteri; Holocentriformes; Holocentridae
Source: RNAcentral